Monodelphis domestica (gray short-tailed opossum) is the source of this 1626-nucleotide long non-coding RNA. Lineage: Eukaryota; Metazoa; Chordata; Mammalia; Didelphimorphia; Didelphidae. The record is from Ensembl.
AAAAGAGGUGCAACAGUGGAAUUCUGAUUUUCUUCUCCAGGGCCUUUUUCCAUCAGCAGAGGAAAUCAAUGUCACUUUUUCCCCAUUUUUGUAAUUAAAUAAAUAUACCUUUCUCAGAAAGUCUUAAUGUUGACAUUACUGAAGUUUCUGUGGCAUUAAAUUAAACUGGAGAGCUAGAUACGAUCUUUCAGAAUUUAUAAUCUUUGUGAUCUGAUAUUUAUGAUGCAUCCAGCAGCUUUCUGUUCAGGUCUUUUACUAUCUGAUACCAUGUUCACAACUUGACAGUAUUGUGGUGUAGGCUGCUCAUGAAUUACGCAUGAGUUAACAAGUGUACUGGGAAUGUUCAUUUUUUAUUUCCUUGAUAGUUUUCAAAAGAAUCUGUUUCUUUGAUAAUGUGUUUUUAAGGUGACAUGUUAAGAAGUAUUACAUAGCUCUAAUAAGAUGAAAAAUUGCCUUCACAGUAGUUUGAAUAACUGUGAUAUAAUAAGCUUCUUUAAAAAAAAAAAAAAAGAAAAAAAAAAAAAAAAAAAAAAAAAAAAAAAAAAAAAAACAAAAAAAACAAUAUUAAAUGUUCCCAUGUAUGGUCUGACCCAUUUAAAAGCUCCUGCAUUGGAUGUGAUCAAAAUGAUCCUGCAUAGCACUUUGGACCAACUUUACAUUUAUCAGCUAGAAGCAACGAAACAUGAAGUUUCGGCAUAGACUGUUAGGGAUCCACCAAUAUUUUGAUGGCGCUAUGACUUCAUUUGGGCAGGAGGCAGGUGGGGAAGUGGAUAGAUAGAGAGCUGGUUCUAAGUUCAAAUCUAGUCUCAGAUACCAGAUAUAUGACCUUUGAUAAGCCACUUAACUCUGCCCUAGUUCUCAUCUGUAAAAUGAGCUGAAGAGGACAUGGCAAAUUACUCCAUUAUCUUUGCCAAGAAAAUACAAAAUAGGGUCACAAAGAGAUGGGUAUGAUUAAACUGACUAAAUAGCAACAGCAAUGAAUGAUUUCUUUGAUGUAGGUGUUCUCCCCAAUAGUAUAUGUAGGUAAUAUUCCAUUCACUGCAUCUCUGUACAUCCUCUUUAUGAGAUCUACUCCAUGUGGUACAGACCUUCCUCCUAGAUCUCUUAUUAUUACAUAGGGAGAAGUGAUACAUAAUUUAAAACUUCUCAUUCUAUUUAACCAACACACUUGUCUUCCUGGGUAUAAAUCUUGUGAUAGCAUCUUUUAUUUUGCUUCUGGUGCAUAAAACUUCAUUAGAAAUAUGCCAUCGCAUACCUAUACUUAACAUGUAGUUCUCUGUUGACUUUUAAUUACAACUUUAGUUCUUCAGAGACUGGGAUAUAUUAUAAUUUUGGUGGUUUUAUAGCAUCAUUGAAAAAAGACCACUAUUAAAAAUAAGAUGGGUCUUUCAGGAAGAAAGCCCAAGUAGUUUUUCAAAUGCACCUGGGAAACUGAUCAAUUAUUUUGAGCAUUUUAUAAUAUUAUCUUCCCUAGGAAAACUUCAGUUCAGUUAAUUGUUUCUCUCAGUGUGUCUCAAGACACAAGUACUAAUGGACCAGAACUAUCCAUCCACCUGCAUGUCAUAGUCUUCAUGAUAAAUACUCUACAUUCAAUAAAGUUUUUUAGGAUAGAGAGAAGGGAGAACA